UCAGGCCCCCAUGGGCCUGCUAAGCCACAUCCAGGCCCGUAGCCCUUCGGAGCCACUCUGUGUAUGCCGAGUGUAGGGCAACAGACUGCACUCUUUCUUGGGACAGCUUGAUUUCCCCAGCAUUCCCACAGGUCCACGAACACCGUUCUAGCAGGGCCAACAUGCCGUGCAAGUCUGACUCAUUGCCCUAGUCUGCGCUGCACUGAGAAAACACUCGGCUUCGUAUUCCAUCUGGGACCCCCUGUCUGAAGUCACCCUGCCUGCAGGAGAAUGUCGGCUUGCGUUCCGACUGCAAGUAAAGCCCAGUUCCUCGGAUAACACUGCAGGCUUUUGAAGAGCCACGGGCCCGGAGGCCUAGCUGGGGCUUUCCUUGGUUGAGGCAGUUCGCUAGAUGCAGAACACCCUGCUUCGAGGAGUUGAUUCAACGAAGUAACCACUGGGUAACCUAUGUCUCUUUGGACUUGUUAGAAAGCACAGGGAUGUAUGCUGCAUGUGCCAGCGGAAAUGGGGACCUGAUGGAACUAGCCUUGCUUUCCCAUUUUGAAAUCUCCACUCAUGCUGCCUUGAAGCUAUUUGAAAUUGAGUGCUGUUGACAGGCCACUAGCCACUGUAGGCAUGGUUCUGGGAAGAAAAUGAAUUGUCUCUAGCUAAGCCGGGUGCUUCGAUGGCCGGGGUGGAGCUCAUCCUGCCACGCUCUAGAGCUAAAGGGAAACUCAACGUGAGUACUGGCCUCGAGGUACGGCCCUGUGUAGCCAUGCAGAAAGGGCGGCAUGCAGCUGUUUCCAUGAUGUCUUAGUCAUUCUUCUGCUUUAUUAUAGAGGGAGUACCCUUUUCAGGACUCCUAAGCCCCCUGGUUGGCACCCUUUUCCCUACAGAUCACUGAGUACCCCCAGAACCCUGUAUGUUUGCUCAGCAACAGCCAGUUCAGUUGGCCCUUCAGAUGCCCUCUGUGUAUGCCGAGCAAAGGGCAACAUGCUACACUCUUACUUGAGAGAACUAGAUUUCCUCAGCACUCCAACAGCUUUAGGAAAACGUUUCUACCCCGUCUAACAUGCCAUGGAAUUGUCCCUCAUUGCCCUAUUGUGAGCUCUACUGAAAAAGCACUCUGCUAAGCAUUCCUUCUAGGACUUCCUACCUGAAGUCACCCUGCCUCCAAGAGAAAGUCGGCUGGCGUUCCAACUGUGAGUAAAGCACAUUUCUUCGUGUUACAGUGCAGGCUUUUGGAGCAAGCACAGGCCCAGAGGCCUAACUCAGGCAUUCCUUAGUUGAGGCUGUUCGCUACACACAGAACACCCCGUGUAGAAGCGCUGAUUCAGGGAAGUGCCCAGUGUGUAGCUCGUGUCUGUUUUCACUUGUUAGAAAGCACGUGUAAGUGUGCCACUUGUCCACCUGGAAAUGGGGGCCUGACGGCAGAAGCCAUCUCAUCAGAGGUGUUGGGAGUGUGUAGAGGCCUUAUAUUCCUGUUGUGUGUCCUGCAGGCAUCCCAUGAAAGACCAGAAUCUAGGUCAACUUGGGCAAGCCACUUAAGUGAGCCUCAGCUUUCUUUAUUUGUAAGGUGGGCACCACAGCGCUUCCCUCCCGUAUGCAUGGCGAAAUCCUGGCAACAAACGUACACCAUGUGGCCCCACUUUGAAAUCUUUAAAGAGGUCUGCCAAUAAAAGUGUCUGUAGGUUGUACCUUCCCUGCAAUGCGACACCUGGUCCAAGGUGGAGAGGUUCAGGAGUGAGCAGUUUGCCCUUUACAUGAAUGGACAGAGCUCAGCCAGCGGCAUCCCUUCACUGAGAUCCUGGCUGCCGAGGUCCACACUUUCCAUGUAUCCAGGCUAGUUUCAGAUGGAGACUGAGAGGGCAAACAGGCAGGUGUAAGGAUGCAAUCCUCAAAUCUUUGGCUUCAAAUAAUCCAUCCCAAACUGCUACCCGAGCCCCCCAGUAUCAAAAAGGAAACAUGUUAUAGACCCAGAAAAAUGUGUUUCCCAAAAGGCCUAGGUUUGCCCUCAUAGUCAUCAGUAUCUAAAAUAGAAGUAGCACUACACUUAAAAUCUUAAACUUCUAUGUAUAUAGGGACCAAAGGCAUUUUCAUCAGAAAGAAAAGGGAUUUAAUAAUGAAACCACAGACAGAUAAAUUGUUUUCAAGCCCCUGAUAAGAGAGGGGAGAAAUGUCAACUUCAUGGGAGUUGCAGAAUCAGCAGUUAGGAUUUUUGGAUGCCAACACUGGGGGAGAAGAGACUCCAGCCUGUACCCUUCCCGCCCACCCUCCGCAGUAUGCCUGGUUAGGAGGUGAGUCCUGCAGGCGCGGUGGCCCCUGGGCUGGCCGGAGCGGCAGGGUUAGUGCAGGGGUCCCUGAACAGAACAAUUUACCCUCCCUCCCCAGAGACACCUGGCAAUGUCUGGAGGGUGGGCUAGCGGCAGGUGGCCAGGGACGCUGCUAAACACACUGCAAUGCCCGGGACAAAGCCCACCACAGGGAACAAUUCAGCCCAGAAUGUCAGCAGUGCUGAGGGUGAGAAAGCUAUGCACGUGGCAAUGCUGGCCUCCAGGAGGAGCUCAGGAGACAGCGCAACCCCCUUCCUGCCCACAAGGGGGCGAUGGUCCUCUCCUGUAGCUUGUUCCGAUUUAAGGGCCUUUUGCUGUCCGCUGCUGGUGAGUAACCCAGUGCCCUGGCUUUAGGAGUCGGGGCCUGAGGGCCUCGUUAGCUCCCCGAAUUCUGUGCACUCAGAGUGCGCUUCGCCCCCGCGCUCCCCGCUGUUGUAGAGCAGGGUCUGCAAAGCCAGGAGGAGGGAUUGCUGGAUUUGGCGCUACCAGGCUUGGUCUUGGCGUCCCUGGUAAUGCACAGGGUGGUAUCUGGGGUAGAAAGAGACGAAUCAGGCCGAUUAGCAGCGAGGUGGCGGCUGCUGUGCGGAGCGCCCCUGAGUCGCGAGGCUCCGGGACCCGCUGGUCAGCAGCAGAGGCGUGACGACGACGAAGCCUCACCCCGUGCCCCGCGGCCUGGGCCUUUCGGAGCUGCCCUCUUCAGAAGGCUCUCCCAGGUGCAGACCACCCCAUCCCCAAGCCCCAGCACGCUGGCCACUCCGCACUGGACACCUAGGGGUAGUGCGGGGUGUGGUGUCCACGCCAGACUGACGUCCAGGUCAGAGGGGCUCAGCCUGAGGCUGAAAGGAGAUGGAUGGAUCAGUAGGUUAGUGGUGGUAUCUUUUGGGAGGGAAGCACAGGGAAUUUUUACUUCUCAGUUAUCUUCUGCAUUUUAAAAACUUCUGCCAUGAGUAUGCAUUUCUGUAACCAAAACCUUAUUAGAGUGGAAGCUUAGCGAGGCAGCUUUGCAAAAGGACCCUGCCUGACUCUUGACCCGCCUGUGUGCCUAAAUGCGCAUGCAGCUGCGGCUUGGUCAGCAGUGGUGACCUCCUGAAGCUAUUUACAACCUGUAAACGGUGUGUGCUCCUCCACGGGAUAUCUCAGUUCUCUGACUCUCAGGUUCUUCUUCUGUGGAGAAAAAGGGCAGAUAUGUUCUACAAAUGUCCACAGUUCCCCGUGGAGAAGGUGCCUCUGGGCAUGAACAUGUGCUGGAGUGGCAUGAUGCUGGGGUCUGCCCCUCGCAGCUCAAUCUCAAAGACUCCAAGCAGAGCCACCUACUUUAUAUUUUUCUUCCCUUCUGAAGACAUUGGCUGGCACUUGGCCUUGGUCCAGGGUGUACGCCUUCUUCAACCUGUUGACUGCAGAGUCCUCACAUUGCUUUGGGCUUGGUCCAAGUCUGUGCUUGAGUGGAGGACGGGGCUUUGAGAGGGUCCACACGCCCCUCCUUCCCAGCCACGCACCUUCUUUUCCUUGCCAAGCUCUCCCUUCUCCUACUGUGACAACGAAGCAGCUGCUUCAACCUCUUCUGUAACCUGGGCUCUCCCAUCUGUCUUCAGUUUUUCCCGUGCUCAUAGCUGGAUAGAAACCUGCUGGGGGGUGUUUUUCAGACGAACUUGAGUAACUUGCCCUCGUAGAUUAGUUAAGAGCCUGUAGGUCUCGAAGGGAUUUGUGGAAAAGACCCAGCAGAGUCUGCGAGAACCCGAGGUGGCUGUGGCUGGAGCCAGGUGAGCCACAGGUUAGGGGCGUCUGGGCCUCAUCCUGUGUGAGGGUGGAUGCGCUACUGCUGUCCUCUGCCUCGGGCCCUCAUCUGUGAAAUGGGGGAACAGUGAGGACUGCCCUCCCGAGGUCGUCAUGAGGCUUAAUGUGUGAAUGCACUGACCACUCAGAGCAGCCCUCACCGCAGGGAGAGGUGUGUGUGUGUGUGUGUGUGUGUGUGUGUGUGUGUGUGUGUGUGUGUGUGUGUGUGUGUGUGUGUGUGUGUGUGUGUGUGAGUGUGAGUGAGUGUUUGCAGCCACCGGGCUUCGCUUUUCUCCACCAGCUCCUUCUUCACGGGGAAGCAAGGAGAGGCAUGGGAGGGAGGGAAGGAGAAGACUAGAAAAAGGAGGCAGAGGGAGGUCCCUGGGGAAGGGUUUCUGCCACUCAUGCAUGGGUGGCCUGGGCUCCAAACUUGGGGUUUUACACCAGGGCGUGUGAGCAAGGGGCGGCGGCCAGGGGCAGAGCAUUUGCAGACCGUGCGUAGGUCUGGACAGAGCAGGAAGACGCCAAGGCUCUGCCUCCUCCCAGCUGUCAAGGCCCGAGGCAACAGGUCACCCCUUCUGAGUCCCUGAGAAAUUGGGAGGUGCUAGUCCAAGGGCACAAAGUUUCAGUUAUGCCAGAUGAAAACAAGUUCUGGAGCUCUGCUGUAUAAUAUGGUGCCUGUAGUUAACAAUACUGUAUUGUGUGCUUAAAAUUUACUGAGGAUGGCUCCUAUCUUAAGUGUUCAUACCAUACACACAAAGAAUGAUGAUAAUAGGAAUAAUAAUAAAUAAAGGAAUGAAUAGGUCGGGAGGACACCUUUGGAGUGAUACAUAUGUUUACGGUGUAGAUUGUGGUGAUGGUUUCAUGGGUGUAAUCUGUCUCCAUACUCACAAAGUUGCAUGUAUUAAUCAUGUACAGCUUUCUGUAUGUCAAUGAUACCUUCAUAAAGUGGUUUAAAACAAUAAAAUGGGGGGGGAAUAUAGUCACUCCAAGUACUGAGCACGUUGCCUGUCACAGUAAAUAAGGAAAUAAAUGUAAUUAUGGUUUAACCUUAGCUCAGGACUGAGAGUGGGUCCCACAGGUACUUGGCAGGUGGUGUCUGUGGCCAGCUCCUCCACCCUGGCUCAGCACUGCUUCUGUGAAGCACAAGGGCUCCCCAAACACAGAGACCAGCUCCAGGUGCACACUCGUGACAGAGAAGGUGGGUUGGUCGCAGACACCUUGUUUUGGUUACUUGCUAUUCCUUCCUCCACACACCCUUUCAUUGUCCUGGUCCUUAACCUUUAACUCCUGUAAGAAACAGGGUUUGCAGAUUUCUGAAGACAUUUUGCAGUGUGCAGACCUGUUUCACCUUUGUUCCCCAUCCUUGGGUCUGGAGAUAAAGGCGGGAAGACAGUACUCCAUGAAAGCAACAAUCACAAACCUCAGGUAUGCUCACCCUCAGGUGCCUCAGACUUCAAAGAAAUGGCAAACUAGGCAUCUCAUUUUAUACAUGGCCGUCUUUAAGUACACAUGUAUGUACAUAAAAUGAAAUUGUACUGAAAUAAAUCUUAUUGCUGAACGUUUGCUUUUCGGAAGACACUUUGGUGUAAAAGUUCCUAAGAAAAUUUGUUUUUUUAAAGGACCAAAAGUGGGGUGAGUGUUUCAUGGGUAAAGACCUUUUUCGUAACGAGUGAAGGUGAAAUGAGCAGACUGUGCAACUCAGAUUCCAGCUGCAUCCCCGUCACUACCCUCGGGAGUGUGCCGGAAGGACCCCAGAGAGCUGGCCCACUGGGGGACUCUCUUUUCUGGUUGUUGGCUGAGUAUGUAAUGUCCACUCUGGGUCAUCUAAGGGCCAAGACCAAGUACUCUGUUUCUGCUGUGACCCGUGCUUCUGCUACCACGUGCUGCACAAGGUAGGUACCUCAGAGUCCUAGCUGAAUAGCUCAUAGAGAGACAGGUCUCAGCCUUGCUUCUCCACCUGCAUCUUAUAGAGGUGGAAAGUAGGAACUGCAGCCCAGCAAGCCACGGACCCAGGCAAUGCUAAAACUGCAAAGUCACCUGUGUUGAUUCCAGCCAGCUUUUAGUAAGUAAAUCCGUGACUCUUGUAAGAAGAGAUUUCAGAAGAUGUGUACCUUCUACAGAAUUCACAUUUAGUGAGGGGCGUGUGAAAAGGUAUACACAAUUUUAAUCUUUUUAUUUUACUAAUAGCGUAUCUUAAUGAUUGAAAAAUAGAAAUUCCUGUAAAUAAAAAGAAAACCAGAAAGUACUCAUACUUUACACACCUAGUGUUCACGAUCUAAUGGGCCUGCUUCCCCUUCCCCUCUCUCUUCUAUCUGAGCCUCCACGAUGGACGGGACUCACCUGGUACAAGUGACGCGGGGUCGAGCUGGACUGUUGGUUUUCUGCUCCGCCUCUGCUUCCUCUCCGCAUCCUGGACUCUAAAGAAGAUGAAUGAAAUGUCUGCUCUGGUUGCUGGCUGUUUCAUCUCCAACUUAACCUCAGUCUGUGGUUGUGGAGGGCCUCAGAAGUCAGGAAGGUCCCCCGCCGCCAACAUGGGGAGGGUGGGGCCGGACCCAGGUUCCAGCCCAGCCCUGACACGCAGUGCGCUCAGUGGGACAUGUUGGCAUGCAUGCAAGGUUGUAGCGCUGCCAGCCCCCAUAUGCUGCCUUCUUGAGGGCUGGCGGUGCCCUUCAGGACUGGCUGCAUCGUUCGUCCCAUUUGAGUGGGCAGUAGUAGAUAAUAAAAUCUCAGAAUAUCCCUUGACCCGUGACCAUCCAGGCAGGCAUCUGUGGUCCUCCAGCUCAGGCCUGCCUGGGCCCUGUCAAGCCCCUGUGGCCAAUCACUGAGCUGACCUUGCUGCUGGGCAAUUGAACAGCUACCUGGGCAGCGUAGACGGCCCCUUGGGAAGUUUCAGUUCCCUACAUCCAUGUGAUUGAGAAACGGGCCUCCUCCCUCAUAGCCUCUCAGCCUUCUGAGAGGAAAUAACCCUGCAGACAUUGAGUGUGGCCCUGGCCACAAGCAGCAUACAGCAGACCGUGGCCCUGCAAUCCUCUGGCCUUCGGGUUGUUGCAAACCUUUGACAUUCAUACUCAUUACAAAUCAAAGGUAUGGGAGCAAGUGGCUUCCCAGCUGGUGUUCGCACUCUGAGGCCACGUGGUCUCCAGGAGCCACGUGCAUCCGGGCCCAGUCCCCGCGGCCCCCAGAAAGCCAGCCGACUGUGGAUUCCACGGUAUAGGAUCAUCCUCGAGACACUGCUCCGCUGAGUAACAGUUUCCUUACCACCUACCGUUUGGUUUCUGUUCUCUGUAAAGGAGAGAGCAGAGACUGGGAAAUGAGUAAAUGUGUUCUGUGGAGAUGGGUAAUUAAUAUAGUCAGAGCGCAGGUGUGACUCCUGGGCUCCCACCUCCCAGGGACACGAAUGAAGUCUGUGUGCCUUUUGAGGUACACUGGCAAUCAGGGCCAGCCUCUGAUAUGAGGCCCCGAUGCCCAAAGCAAGAGUCUUGAGUUUACCACCAACAGCGAAGUUGCUAUUUUAGCUAGUGGAAGAGCUUCCUGCCAUCAAGGGAGGACAGCAAGAGCCCUGGAUGGGUGACCACAGUCACUGACCUUAACUGAACCUCUUCUUUUCUGUUAAAAUGGACAUUGAGUGGGUGUCGCCUGCAGUUUCUGGAAGCCCUGGAUGCAGUGAGAGAGAUUUUUCCUGUGAAUGGGGCCACCCAAAGGCAUUUAGCAGGACAAAGGAUUGGCGGGAGACCAGAUCACACUGCAAGAGAGUGAGCCACCAGAACUGCCAGGAUGCCAUCCAGUGUAUCACGUGACAUUUAGUCAUCAUGUCUGUUUAGACUCUUCUGGGCUUUCACAGUUUCUGAGACUGUCCUUGUUUCUAUGACCUUGACAUUGGAGGAAGCUACUUUGGGAACCAGCACUUAUGGAGACAGGAGUUAUCUCCACCUCCACAAUCCAUGGAUGGCUGAGUGUCCACAUCAAUUAUUUAGACUUCCACAUAGGAGAUUUCUAUUCAACCUUAUUGAUCAAAACAAACAAACAAACAAACAAACAAAACCCUAUGCAGUUACUUAUUUUUACCAGCAUGGACACCUGUGGACAGUUUUGGUUUGUUUGUUUUUCUUUGUUUUUUUAACUUUUUGUUAUAAUCCAGCAGUCCAGAUUUUGUUGCUAAGUUCAUUCCUACUUUGGCUAUUGAGAGCUCUUUCCAUUGGCUCCUGUUUUCCUUUGACAUCAUUCCACCCUGUGGACUUUUUUUUCUUGAUACUUCCUUAUUUUCUGAUAUAAGAUUCAAGAUUGGGGCUUCCCUGGUGGCGCAGUGGUUGAGAAUCCGCCUGCCAAUGCAGGGGACACAGGUUCGAGCCCUGGUCUAGGAAGAUCCCACAUGCCGCGGAGCAACUAGGCCCGUGAGCCACAAUUACUGAGCCUGUGCGUCUGGAGCCUGCGCUCCACAACAGGAAAGGCUGCGAUGGUGAGAGGCCCGCUCACCGCGAUGAAGAGUGGCCCCCGCUCGCUGCAACUAGAGAAAGCCCUCGCACAGAAACGAAGA
This is a long non-coding RNA of Balaenoptera acutorostrata (minke whale), 8622 nucleotides long. RefSeq lists it as uncharacterized. Lineage: Eukaryota; Metazoa; Chordata; Mammalia; Artiodactyla; Balaenopteridae. The transcript has 4 exons. The record is from RefSeq and is a predicted model, not a curated record.